RNAcentral lists this ribosomal RNA (468 nucleotides) under uncultured bacterium. RNAcentral describes it as "partial 16S ribosomal RNA". It matches the Rfam family "Bacterial small subunit ribosomal RNA", at positions 28 to 507 of the family's 1533-position model. The record is from RNAcentral.
GACGAACGCUGGCGGCGUGCUUAACACAUGCAAGUCGAACGGAAAGGCCCUGCUUUUGUGGGGUGCUCGAGUGGCGAACGGGUGAGUAACACGUGAGUAACCUGCCCUUGACUUUGGGAUAACUUCAGGAAACUGGGGCUAAUACCGGAUAGGAGCUCCUGCUGCAUGGUGGGGGUUGGAAAGUUUCGGCGGUUGGGGAUGGACUCGCGGCUUAUCAGCUUGUUGGUGGGGUAGUGGCUUACCAAGGCUUUGACGGGUAGCCGGCCUGAGAGGGUGACCGGCCACAUUGGGACUGAGAUACGGCCCAGACUCCUACGGGAGGCAGCAGUGGGGAAUAUUGCACGAUGGGCGGAAGCCUGAUGCAGCAACGCCGCGUGCGGGAUGACGGCCUUCGGGUUGUAAACCGCUUUCGCCUGUGACGAAGCGUGAGUGACGGUAAUGGGUAAAGAAGCACCGGCUAACUCCGUG